Molecule: ribosomal RNA, 245 nt
Filed under: uncultured Pseudoxanthomonas sp.
Lineage: Bacteria; Pseudomonadati; Pseudomonadota; Gammaproteobacteria; Lysobacterales; Lysobacteraceae
Description: partial 16S ribosomal RNA
Rfam family: Bacterial small subunit ribosomal RNA
Source: RNAcentral
UACGAAGGGUGCAAGCGUUACUCGGAAUUACUGGGCGUAAAGCGUGCGUAGGUGGUGGUUUAAGUCUGCUGUGAAAGCCCUGGGCUCAACCUGGGAAUUGCAGUGGAUACUGGAUCACUAGAGUGCGGUAGAGGGUAGUGGAAUUUCCGGUGUAGCAGUGAAAUGCGUAGAGAUCGGAAGGAACAUCUGUGGCGAAGGCGACUACCUGGGCCAACACUGACACUGAGGCACGAAAGCGUGGGGAG